UCUGUGAUUAAUUGCAGAACUUUAACUAUAUAUAGUAAAUUUGGCCACAGAUUUAUUUAAACCGAAUCUUAACUGAGAUUGGAAGAUAGAAGAAUUAAGAUCUGCAGGUGGGUAUUGCUAUUUUUUCUUCGUGACACUCUAAAUUUUACAUCAUGUAAAUCUAUUUCUGAAAUUCAGCAUAGUGUCAUUAAUAUAUGAUGCUUUUAGCAACUUCCCUUACAGCACAAGGCAGAAUAGUGCAUUCCCUUGAGGAAAUGAAAGGUUUCUGACUUCCAUGGAAAUGUAUACCAGAAGUUUCAUGAUUCUGCAGGGCCAAAAUAAUAUCUAAAAUUAAUCUAAAUUGGAGGGUUAUGAAAGACAAGCAAAUACUACAAAAUUAUAAUAAGACAUGCAAAUUAGGUUCAGAAUUUAAUACUUCUGUAAAGUUUGAUUUUAUCAGUUUAAUAUCAGGAGUACCAAUUUGAUUUUCUAAGAGAAAAAAAGAAUGAUUUAGACAAAAUUGGUUUAAAUUCAAUCUUUUCUAACUGUAUAAUUGCGAUUGGAUUUAAUUUAAUUUUUUAAUAUAUCUCUUGUUUUUUUGCUGCUCAUGGACCAAAUUCAGAUUGUCUCUUGUGUUUGCAAAUAAAUUUUUUGGAUUUCAGUUAUAUUUAUUUAUACACAUAGUGUCUCUGGCUGCUUGUCACCAACUACAGCCUUUUCUAACCAAUCCUGCCCAAAUUAACUUCUUCCUCUGAACUCCAUAGCAUCAGAGCAUGAUUGUAUAUUGUGUUAUGGUACCUGUUUCAUUUAUAUUAUACUGGUAUUUGUUCUUGUUUAUUACUUUAAAUUAUAAUAUCCCUGAGAGUAGCAACUAUAUAUUCUUCCUCACCUUAUCCCUAGCACAGCUAUGAUCAAAGUAGACACUAAAUAAUUAUUCUCUCUCUCUUUGGUAUUAUGGAGCUUGCAGAGUGUAUGAUCAAUUGUCCCUCAUCUUUCAAAGGACCUGGAUCUAGUGUUUUGCACUUAGGUAAAAGUAAUUAUGCUUACUUAGGGAAAAUCACUGUAGUUGGGACAGAUUUACAAAGAUAAAUACAGGAAGCAGACUGCAGUGAAUUGGUUAUCCUGCCUGGGUUAUAAGGAAUUGCAGAAAACAGUUGUGGGGAAAUGAUAGAUCUGUAUUGAAAUCUAAAAUUUAUGUCUCUAAUGCAGACUAACAUAUACAGUUCUCAUUACAUGGGUGAAAGUGAAAAUACUAGAGAAUAUUUUGUAUCCCACAGUGUAUAAAGGAGAGCCAUUGACUUAUAAUGCGACUGUUUGUUGUUGUUGCUAAUACUUAUUGAUUCUCUACAAUGUACUUCAGAGUUUAUUAGAAAAGCACAAAAGAUGCAGUUUUUUUCUUUCAACCCAUAAGAUGGAGCCAAGACAGUCAUCUUAUCCACCUCCCUUCCUGGUUGCUUAGUUUUUUGGUGAUUUAACCUUUAGAAAAAUGACUACAGUGUAUCUAUGCAGCUUAUUGUUAGUACUUUACUUUUCAUUAAUAUUUAAAAUAAGAUUAUUUUAUUGUUAUUGCAAUGCCUUUGUUUUCUGUUUUAGAGACUGUGACAGUUUAGUUGUUAGAAGUAAGUAUAACUUACUAAUGCAAAGACUUGCUAAAGCAUUAGGAUAGAAAUGUGGUAGUUAUUUGAACUAGAUCUGAUAUCAAGAAACAUUUAUUUAGAAGGUUUGAAACAGUAUCAUAGGGUCUUCCCUCCCCCUAGUUGGUUUUCAGAGUACCCAUAAAUGUAAUGAAAAUUAUAUGUUACAAAUGGGUUGAGGGGAAUGUAUAUACAUGUGCCAUAUUUUUUUUAUUACAUUUCUUCAUUAAGAAGAAUAUUUCAGAAUAAUGAAUAAUUUUUAAGUAGACAUGCAACUAGUUUUGAAAAUACAGAAAAUUAUAAAAACAAUUUAUCAUUUUUCCAAAAUAUCAAGCAUUGGUACAACUUAUAUACCUCUGUCUCACAAAUGAUAAAACAUGUUUGAAGAAAAGUAAUUUAUGAUCAUAGCAGUUUCUGAUUGAGCAAUGACUUGAAAAACAUACCAAAAAUAGUAAAGGAAGACUAUACAUGUUUACUUCAUUUUUGAUUGUUGUGUUGGGUUCACACAAGGUUUUAGAUGUGGUAGGGGGCACAUAGGAAAAAUCAUCCUAGAUCACCAGGAAGUUGGAUUUAUUGCUUGGUCCUUGAAAAUAACACUGAAUAAAAUGUACUCAUAACAUUCAUGCAUACCUACCUCACUCACUCCUGAUACCAUUCAAAAGACAAAAGUGUGUUGUUUACUAUAGCAGCACUUAAGUUUUUUCACUAAAAUUACUUCUUAUUACUGAAAGAAUUUCUGUGAGUUUUUAAAAGAUUUCCUGAAAGUCCAAAGGAAGUUUCUACCUACAAAUCUUGUAAGUAUUAAAGAGUAGUAGCACUUUUUGGUUGGAAAAUGUUUAGGUUAAGAGCAGUAUGUCAUUCCCCUUUGUUUAGAAGGCAGAAGACAAUAUGGACUGAAAUAAACUUGUUGUUUCCUUUACAUACUG
This 2539-nucleotide long non-coding RNA is filed under the name Sus scrofa (pig). RNAcentral describes it as "lncRNA (ENSSSCG00005043285.1)". The record is from RNAcentral. Lineage: Eukaryota; Metazoa; Chordata; Mammalia; Artiodactyla; Suidae.